AGUCUGGUGCCAGCAGCCGCGGUAAUUCCAGCUCCAACAGCGUAUGCUAGAGUUGUUGCAGUUAAAACGCUCGUAGUUGGAUUUCGGGGUAUAUCGCACGAUUCAGCCCAGGUGGUUUGUAGUUGUGCGAUUGCCCUUUUCUAGUGGAUACUCGCCGGGCCUCUUAAUUGAGGCACGGUUGUGCUUUUGCCGAGUUCCACUUCGUUUACUGUGUACAAAUUAGAGUGUUUCAAGCAGGCUUUUUAGCUUGGAUAUCAAAGCAUGGGAUAAUAGAAUAGGCUUUUGGUUAAUUUUGUUGGUUUUGUUAGUCAAAAGAAUGGUUAAAAGGGACAGUUGGCGUCGACUGUACUCCAAGGCUAGAGGUGAAAUCCUAUGAUUCUUGGAUGACAAACAACUGCGAAGGCAUUCGACGAGGAUGUUUUCAUUAAUCAAGAACGAUAGUGAGGGGUUCGAAGAUGAUCAGAUACCGUCGUAGUCCUCACCGUAAACUAUGCCAACGGAGGAUUUGAAGUCGUUUUUUAUGACUCUUCAAGCACUCACAGCGAAAGCUUGAGUUUUUGGGUUCUGGGGGGAGUACGGUCGCAAGGCUGAAACUUGAAGAAAUUGACGGAAGGGCAUCACCGGGAGUGGAGCCUGCGGCUUAAUUUGACCCAACACGGGUAAACUUACUUGGUCCGGACAGAAGAAGGAUUGACAGAUUGAGAGUUCUUUCAUAAUUUUCUGGGUGGUGGUGCAUGGCCGUUCUUAAUUCGUGGAUUGAUUUGUCUGGUUGAUUCCGAUAACGAGUGAGACCCCUUUCUGCUAAAUAGUCACGACUUGAUCCUCGGAACAAGCCGGAAGAACUUCUUAGAGAGACCACGCGUAUCGAGCGCGGGGAAGUGGGGGGCUAUAACAGGUCUGUGAUGCCCUUAGACGUCCGAGGCUGCACGCGUGCUACAAUGGCUGUAUCAACAAGUUCUUCCUUCUCCGAAAGGAGUGGGCAAUCUUUGAAAUGCAGUCGUGCUGGGGAUUGAGCGCUGGAAUAAUGCUCAUGAACGAGGAAUUCCUUGUAGGCGCAAGUCAUUAUCUUGCACCGAAUGCGUCCCUGCCUUUUGUACACACCGCCCGUCGCUACUACCGAUUGGUGCGUUUGGUGAGGUCUUUGGAGAGCGAUUGUCGUGGUGGUUCGCCGUCACAAAGUUGCUUGAAAUUGAUCAAAUCGCACGCACUAGAGGAAGUAAAAGUCGUAACAAGG
RNAcentral lists this ribosomal RNA (1234 nucleotides) under metagenome. Its description in RNAcentral is "SSU rRNA". It matches the Rfam family "Eukaryotic small subunit ribosomal RNA", at positions 558 to 1799 of the family's 1831-position model. The record is from RNAcentral.